AUGGCUUGUAACGUGGUUGGGCUAAGAAGAACACUGGUUUUUCUGGAUCACAAAAUCCUUGAGUAAGAGAGUCAUUCAUAAAUUUCUCAUUCAAGCACAAACUCUCUAUAAACAAACCAAUCUCACUCAUUCCCAACUUUCCCCUUUUUGCAUUAAGCUUCUCUUUCUUUUCAUUCUAUUUUCUUUUCUUUUUCCUUUUCAUUAUUGCUCAAUACUUAGCUCAAUGCUUAUCUUCUUUCUUUUUCUUCUUCAAAUUACCCAACAACCCCAAACUUGAACCUUUAUCAAUACCAUAC
RNAcentral lists this long non-coding RNA (296 nucleotides) under Vigna radiata. RNAcentral's name for it is "long non-coding RNA (VRAD_LNC005785)". The record is from RNAcentral. Lineage: Eukaryota; Viridiplantae; Streptophyta; Magnoliopsida; Fabales; Fabaceae.